RNAcentral lists this unclassified non-coding RNA (474 nucleotides) under Hevea brasiliensis (rubber tree). The record is from RNAcentral. Lineage: Eukaryota; Viridiplantae; Streptophyta; Magnoliopsida; Malpighiales; Euphorbiaceae.
GCUUUGUACGAUUUCUCAUUUUUUUUUGUGUGUUUUGAAAUGGUUUCUUCUUGUGCUUUAGUAAUUUGUAUGGCUGCUGCCAGUUAUGAAGCUGGAAUGUAGGUGUAUGUUUGAAGUAUAGUCUUCUCUUGUUUCGAUCAUCUUGUCUUAAGUUUAUUCAUGUUGUUCACUUCGCUCGAGUUGUUCGUUUAGGCCUGGACGAGCUUGUAAGUAGUAUAAUGUUUGUUUUGAUCUAUAGACACUCUAGUUCCUUCAAUCAUAUUUGUUUGUGAAUGUGUAAGUUCGAACGAGAAAACUCGUAUUGUUUGUCGAAUAGCCUUUAUAUUUGCUUAAGAAUGUUAUGGUAAAGUUUAAUGACCUUGUAUCUGUAGCCCUUCUUUGCUUGAACCUCUCCUAAUCGAGUUUUUUUUAUUUCUAAUAUAUGUCGGUGAUUCUUUCUUUAUCGUAUUCUUAGUUGUCGUAUGGGGGUAGAAG